GAUGUCAAGAUGGAUGCCACACAGCACCCAAGGACA
This 36-nucleotide transfer RNA is filed under the name Sporopipes frontalis. Its description in RNAcentral is "partial tRNA-Phe". The record is from RNAcentral. Lineage: Eukaryota; Metazoa; Chordata; Aves; Passeriformes; Ploceidae.